GAUGGAAGCGUUGGUGUAAGUGCUUGGAUAAUCGGACGUCAUUGGUGGAAUUGUGAUCUGUUGUGCACAAAAAUCGGAAAAUUUGUUAGCCGCGUUGUUGUUGCUGUACAGAUAUGUCGACAUAGAAGAGAGAUCAAGUAGUUUCAACAGGAAGAGGAUUCUGAUACAAGUUUCAUUGAAGCUUAUUUGUUGAAUAAAAAGACAGAAGAAGAGUGAAGCCAAUCCCAUUCCAGUUCCAGCCAAUAAGGGUUUAUUGGUCAAUACAUGAGUUUUGCCAUUAAUGCGUUGUAAGGCUAAUCAUUAACCAUGUAAAUCUUGAAACUUUCAAAGAUUUCAAUGCUAUGACAUUGUUUUAGCCUUUUAGGACAAUUGAACUAUAGAUAAGAUCAUUACAAUCUUGAAAGUGAUCGUCUAGCUGAAAUUUGGGGAGAUUUCUUAUAAGGGGCUUCACUUACAUCUCUAACCUUAUAAUCAGUUGCCAUGUUAUCAAUACACAACUUCCAUCUCAUUAACAUCAGGUUGUGAUCUUUCUUGAAGGCGUAUUGAAAUUUGGGGAGAUUUCU
Lactuca sativa (garden lettuce) is the source of this 563-nucleotide non-coding RNA. NCBI's taxonomy places the organism in Eukaryota, Viridiplantae, Streptophyta, Magnoliopsida, Asterales, Asteraceae. The record is from RefSeq and is a predicted model, not a curated record.